GAAAAUUACGAUGAGGCUUGACUUCCUUGAGAAAACUUUUGCAUUGGUGCUGGGAGUUUGCACACUUUAGCAAAACUACAUACACUAAACUUGUAGCCAUGUGAGUUUGGGAAGGACUUGAGAUACCAUAGAGUAUCACAAAAUGUUUGAUGAACAUGAUGAAAGCUUCACAAAAUGGAGGAGGUAUUAAAAUUUUCUGCCAUUUUCAUCUUUUAAGUUUAUAAAAUUAUGCAUUACUUAUGCUAAACUUGUUUAUGAUUGUCAAUGUGUAAUAUCCCGGUUGUGUUUAAAUGAAGAUGGAGAAGAGGAGGAGAAGGUGAAGAAAGAAUCUAAGUCAUGAGGAUAUGUCAGAUACUAUUCACCAUUGUGUAGCUAAGUAGCUGCAUAAUCUUAUAUUACAGUAGCAUGCUGUUGAAAAGAGAGAACAGAGAGAGUCAGCCAUAAUCCUGUUGGAACCAGAGUAAGAAGCAUCUUGUCAAAACCGUAUUCUGAGAGAGUACUUGUGUUUAGUUUUAAUAUUUGAGCAGAUUCAAGUUAAUGGAUAACACACUAAAAUUUUAGUAGAG
This 566-nucleotide long non-coding RNA is filed under the name Capsella rubella. RNAcentral describes it as "long non-coding RNA (CRUB_LNC002676)". The record is from RNAcentral. Lineage: Eukaryota; Viridiplantae; Streptophyta; Magnoliopsida; Brassicales; Brassicaceae.